CUACUAUGGACCAAACAAAUGACUUGCCUCUGCAGGUCCUCUCCAGAGAGCCUGGUGUGGAGCCCCACAAGGUCUUCAGCAUUAACAUCUCCAUCUCUUGAACUAGUGAUCUGCCCACCUCGGACUCCCAAAGUGCUGGGAUUAUAGGUGUGAGCCACCGCGCUGGGCCUUGGCUUGCAGUUUUGAUCUCAGGAUUGGUAUGACUUUGGAGAAGACAGAGGACACAAUUGUUAAAGAGUCCAGAAUCUGGGAGAAUAAAAUAAUUUUCAGAGACUGGAACCUCAACCUAGUCUGGCAGGUGGAAGAAGGAUAAAAAGUUCUACUCUUAGUUUAAGAAAGUUUUCAUUAAUUUCAAAAUAUGCAGCAUAACAGCAACAUCUGUGUGAAAAAAUCUUGGCAUCUUUAUAAAUAGUAAGAGCCAAUGAAUCAAAUGAAGAGGUCGCCAUGAGGCUGAUGUGAUCUUCGUCAGCAUUAGUCAGAGCAUGGUCCCAGCACAGGCAACGCUGCUGUACUUCAUGCCAAAUCUGGUCCAGAAGGGUUGUGUGUGUGUGUUUGACUUUUUAAAAUUUGAAUCCAUUUCCAGCAUGCAAACAUUGUUAAUUUCACAUCUGGAUUCCGAGCUCCUCUUGAAACACCAUGUGGUCAGGUUGUCCUGCGCCCAUACUCCUGCCGGUCAUCAUCAUCUGGAGUGGACCAGUUGUCUACAGAGGCUCUCCACUCCCCACCACUCCAACUCACUGUAAUCUCCACCACUCCCUCUCGCCUUCCACACUGAGGGUGAGGGGCUCUUGUCAUUUCUUGUCACAUUUGUGCUACUGGCUUUCUGACAGUAGAUUUCAGAGUGAUGUGAGAUAUUUCUUUUACACUGGUCUCCAUCAAAAAUGAGCAACAGAUGAUAGCCCUCACUCUGUCACUCCAACAGAGAAUUCUUUCUAGGUCAUAAACAGAACAAUGGGAAGUCAGAUUGUGUUCUGCUGAAGAGUGUCCAUGGGCUGAAGGCUUUUGAAAUCAAAUCACAGUAGAAUUGCCUGAAGGAAGUGAGAGUGUAUAGCCUGAUGCCGAGAAGAAAAAGCCUGGGGGUAACAUACAGAGUGAGAACUGACAGCUCUUUUUAAGUCUUUCAAGGGCCAUCAUGUGGAAGAUGGAGUAGGAGGCCCAGCAAGCAGAUUUGAGAGAUUGUGCUCUGUACUUGUGCAAUCUAAUUGUGUCCUGUUAGAAAGGAGAUGUCCUGGGAAACUCAGAUUAAGAGGACAGAAGCCCAAAACUAAGCUGUACAGUCAAAAACGUCUAGCUGUUUCUUGUAGCAGAUUGUGCCAGUAAGCGUCACUGAAGAGUAAUUUCAAGGGCUGGUGAAAAUAUAAGAUAAAACACUGAUUACAGGAUGACAGGUUUUCUCUGCUCAACAAUCUUUGAAUUAUUCAGAAAACUUUGCUUCCAGAGUGGUAUAUUAAUAAUACACCUAAGCAAAUAUUUUGUUGCUUAAGCUGAAAGGCAUUUUCUCCUUGAAGGGAAAGCUUCUGAAGAUGGCAGUAGAUUAACAUACCCAAAUAUCUUGAUAUCCUCAAUAGGAAGAAAGUCAAGUUAAGUUUCCUGAUCUAAAGAGUCCAGGAAAUUAAAUUCUCUCUAUGUUCUGUUUCUGAAGUACUGCAGAAACUGCUCAAGAUGGAAGGAUACCAGAGAAGAAAAACAUUGCUCAAUGUUUAAAACUUAUUUUAUUUUUUGAAAAAAGAAACAUAAUAACUUAGUCCAAAAUCAAACAACAUAAAAAGUAUACAUUGAAAAGUUUAUCCUCACCCUAUCUACUUCCAGCAAUUUCCUUCCAAUUCUAUCUGUAGUAUUUUUUCAUUUUUCUUCUUGUUUUUUUUAAAUAAAAUAAAAU
This 1879-nucleotide long non-coding RNA is filed under the name Homo sapiens (human). Its description in RNAcentral is "HSALNT0371549". Lineage: Eukaryota; Metazoa; Chordata; Mammalia; Primates; Hominidae. The record is from RNAcentral.